This 254-nucleotide ribosomal RNA is filed under the name uncultured bacterium. Its description in RNAcentral is "partial 16S ribosomal RNA". It matches the Rfam family "Bacterial small subunit ribosomal RNA", at positions 524 to 777 of the family's 1533-position model. The record is from RNAcentral.
UACAGAGGGGGCAAGCGUUGUUCGGAAUUACUGGGCGUAAAGGGCGCGUAGGCGGCCGCCUAAGUCAGACGUGAAAUCCCUCGGCUCAACCGGGGAACUGCGUCUGAUACUGGGUGGCUUGAAUCCGGGAGAGGGAUGCGGAAUUCCAGGUGUAGCGGUGAAAUGCGUAGAUAUUCGGAAGAACACCAGUGGCGAAGGCGACUCGCUGGACAAGUAUUGACGCUGAGGUGCGAAAGCGUGGGGAGCAAACAGGG